This 77-nucleotide transfer RNA is filed under the name Thermoprotei archaeon. RNAcentral's name for it is "tRNA-Lys". It matches the Rfam family "tRNA". Rfam says of the family: Transfer RNA (tRNA) molecules are approximately 80 nucleotides in length. The record is from RNAcentral. Lineage: Archaea; Thermoproteati; Thermoproteota; Thermoprotei.
GGGCCCGUAGCUCAGCCAGGUAGAGCGCCGGGCUCUUAACCCGGAGGUCGCGGGUUCGAAUCCCGCCGGGCCCGCCA